AUGUUGAUAAGGAAAUUUUGGUGGGGGUCUAAAGAUAGAAAAAGAAAACCAAGUUGGGUGCCGUGGCAGGAGAUGACUCGACCUAAAUGUAUGCGUGGACUUGGUUUCAAGGAUUUUGAACUUUUUAAUCUUUCUUUGUUGGCCAGGCAAGCCUGGCGUAUUCUUCAAUGUCUUAACACUUUAAGUGCUAAAAUCUUGAAGGCGGUAUAUUUUCCAUCGACAUCUAUAUUGCAUGCUGAACUUGGUGGUCACCCUUCUCAAAUUUGGAGGGCGGUGCUUGAGGGGCGUGACAUCCUCAAACAAGGCUUGAUACGUCGAAUUGGUAAUGGAAACACCACAGAUAUUUGGAGUGACAAUUGGCUUCCGAGAUCAGAGAUGUUGAGACCUUAUGGAUGA
This 396-nucleotide ribosomal RNA is filed under the name Triticum aestivum (bread wheat). RNAcentral's name for it is "partial small subunit ribosomal RNA". Lineage: Eukaryota; Viridiplantae; Streptophyta; Magnoliopsida; Poales; Poaceae. The record is from RNAcentral.